Molecule: ribosomal RNA, 1172 nt
Filed under: Campylobacter jejuni
Lineage: Bacteria; Pseudomonadati; Campylobacterota; Epsilonproteobacteria; Campylobacterales; Campylobacteraceae
Description: partial 23S ribosomal RNA
Rfam family: Bacterial large subunit ribosomal RNA
Source: RNAcentral
AAAAAAGGUAAGCUACUAAGAGCGAAUGGUGGAUGCCUUGACUGGUAAAGGCGAUGAAGGACGUACUAGACUGCGAUAAGCUACGGGGAGCUGUCAAGAAGCUUUGAUCCGUAGAUUUCCGAAUGGGGCAACCCAAUGUAUAGAGAUAUACAUUACCUAUAUAGGAGCGAACGAGGGGAAUUGAAACAUCUUAGUACUCUCAGGAAAAGAAAUCAAUAGAGAUUGCGUCAGUAGCGGCGAGCGAAAGCGCAAGAGGGCAAACCCAGUGCUUGCACUGGGGGUUGUAGGACUGCAAUGUGCAAGAGGUAAGUUUAGCAGAACAUUCUGGAAAGUAUAACCAUAGAGGGUGAUAGUCCCGUAUGCGAAAAACAAAGCUUAGCUAGCAGUAUCCUGAGUAGGGCGGGACACGAGGAAUCCUGUCUGAAUCCGGGUCGACCACGAUCCAACCCUAAAUACUAAUACCAGAUCGAUAGUGCACAAGUACCGUGAGGGAAAGGUGAAAAGAACUGAGGUGAUCAGAGUGAAAUAGAACCUGAAACCAUUUGCUUACAAUCAUUCAGAGCCCUAUGUAGCAAUACAGGGUGAUGGACUGCCUUUUGCAUAAUGAGCCUGCGAGUUGUGGUGUCUGGCAAGGUUAAGCAAACGCGAAGCCGUAGCGAAAGCGAGUCUGAAUAGGGCGCUUAGUCAGAUGCUGCAGACCCGAAACGAAGUGAUCUAUCCAUGAGCAAGUUGAAGCUAGUGUAAGAACUAGUGGAGGACUGAACCCAUAGGCGUUGAAAAGCCCCGGGAUGACUUGUGGAUAGGGGUGAAAGGCCAAUCAAACUUCGUGAUAGCUGGUUCUCUCCGAAAUAUAUUUAGGUAUAGCGUUGUGUCGUAAUAUAAGGGGGUAGAGCACUGAAUGGGCUAGGGCAUACACCAAUGUACCAAACCCUAUCAAACUCCGAAUACCUUAUAUGUAAUCACAGCAGUCAGGCGGCGAGUGAUAAAAUCCGUCGUCAAGAGGGAAACAACCCAGACUACCAGCUAAGGUCCCUAAAUCUUACUUAAGUGGAAAACGAUGUGAAGUUACUUAAACAACCAGGAGGUUGGCUUAGAAGCAGCCAUCCUUUAAAGAAAGCGUAAUAGCUCACUGGUCUAGUGAUUUUGCGCGGAAAAUAUAACGGGGCUAAAGU